CCGACCAGUGGGAAAUUUCAACUUCAAAUGGUAGGUUGACACGAUGGCUCGGAGAGCAUUGAGAUCAGGUCGGCCGAGGAUUGCAUUGUAGGCUGACGGCGCCUUCACCACCAAAAAAUUCACCAGAGCCCUGGAUUGCCUUGGAUACUGACCUGCGAUCACAAUCAGAGUUAUCAUUCCUUCUGUCGGAACAGCAUCGUCGGUAAACCCUACCAGAGGAGUGCUAAUCGGUCUCAAAUGGC
Molecule: long non-coding RNA, 242 nt
Filed under: Elaeis guineensis (African oil palm)
Lineage: Eukaryota; Viridiplantae; Streptophyta; Magnoliopsida; Arecales; Arecaceae
Description: long non-coding RNA (EGUI_LNC056408)
Source: RNAcentral